AACGAACGCUGGCGGCAGGCCUAACACAUGCAAGUCGAACGGCCGCACAGUAAGAGCGUGCUCUUAUGGGUGGCGAGUGGGGGACGAGUGAGGAGUACAUCGGAACCUACUUUAUCGGGGGGGAUAACGGAGGGAGACUUAAGCUAGUACCGUAUAUCACCUAAGGAUGAGAGCGGGGGAUCUUCGCACCUUGGGGGAGUGAAUGCGCCGAUGUCGGAUUAGCUAGUUGGGGGGUUAAAGGCCCACCAAGGCUACGAUCCGUAGCGGGACUGAGGGACUGGUCCGGCACCUGGGAACUGAGACACGGCCCCGACUCCUGCGGUAGGCACCAGUGGGGAAUAUUGGACAAGGGGGGCAAGCCUGAUCCAGCCAUACCGCGUGGGUGAUGAAGGCCUCCGGGUUGUAAAGCCCUUUUGUUGGGAAAGAAAAGCAGCAGGUUAAUACCCCGCUGUUCUGACGGUACCCAAAGAAUAAGCACCGGCUAACUUCGUG
RNAcentral lists this ribosomal RNA (492 nucleotides) under uncultured bacterium. RNAcentral describes it as "partial 16S ribosomal RNA". It matches the Rfam family "Bacterial small subunit ribosomal RNA", at positions 29 to 507 of the family's 1533-position model. The record is from RNAcentral.